GAAAAAUUCCGAUGGUUAGAGGAUGGGCAUGCGUUGUAUUAGCUAGUUGGUGGGGUAACGGCUCACCAAGGCGACGAUACCAUAGGGGGACUGAGAGGUUAACCCCCCCANACUGGUACUGAGACACGGACCAGACUCCUACGGGGGGCAGCAGUGAGGAAUAUUGGUCAAUGGACGCAAGUCUGAACCAGCCAUGCCGCGUGCAGGAUGACGGCUCUAUGAGUUUGUAAACUGCUUUUGUACUAGGGUAAACUCACCUACGUGUAGGUGACUGAAAGUAUAGUACGAAUAAGGAUCGGCUAACCUCCGUG
RNAcentral lists this ribosomal RNA (311 nucleotides) under uncultured bacterium. RNAcentral's name for it is "partial 16S ribosomal RNA". It matches the Rfam family "Bacterial small subunit ribosomal RNA", at positions 202 to 507 of the family's 1533-position model. The record is from RNAcentral.